This 532-nucleotide ribosomal RNA is filed under the name uncultured Alphaproteobacteria bacterium. Its description in RNAcentral is "bacterial SSU rRNA". It matches the Rfam family "Bacterial small subunit ribosomal RNA", at positions 337 to 878 of the family's 1533-position model. Lineage: Bacteria; Pseudomonadati; Pseudomonadota; Alphaproteobacteria. The record is from RNAcentral.
UUCUAUUGGGGGCAGCAGUGGGAAUUCUAGACAAUGCGCGCAAGCCUGAUCUAGCCAUUCCGCGUGAGUGAUGAAGGCCUUAGGGUCGUAAAGAUCUUUCCCCAGCGAUGAUAAUGACAGUAUCUGUUAAAGAAACCCCGGUAACUUACGUGCCAGCAGCCGCGGUAAUACGGAGGGGGUCAGCGUUUUUCGGAAUUACUGGGCUAAAGCGCACGUAGGCGGAUUAUAAAUUUGGGGUAAAUCCCAGGGCUCAACCCGGGAUACGCCUUUAAACUCCCAGUGUAGAGUUUGAGAGAGGUGAGUGGAAUUCCGAGUGUAGAGGUGUAAUAUCGAUGAUAUUUGGAGGAACAUCCAGUGGCGAAGACGGCUCCUCUGGAUAGAUACUCACAGCUGAGAGUGCAGAAAGUGUGGGGAGCACACAGGAUUAGAUAUCCCUGGUAUUCCACACCCUAAACGAUGGAAGCCAUAUCGUGCGGGGCUUUAUGCCCGUUCAGGUGUCACAAGCUAACGAACUAAGGAUUCCGCACUGGGG